RNAcentral lists this ribosomal RNA (253 nucleotides) under uncultured bacterium. RNAcentral's name for it is "partial 16S ribosomal RNA". It matches the Rfam family "Bacterial small subunit ribosomal RNA", at positions 524 to 776 of the family's 1533-position model. The record is from RNAcentral.
UACGGAGGGUGCGAGCGUUGUCCGGAAUCACUGGGCGUAAAGGGCGCGUAGGCGGCCCGAUAAGUAGGGGGUGAAAUCCUGCGGCUUAACCGCAGGGCUGCCUUCUAAACUGUCGGGCUAGAGCACGGUAGAGGCAGAUGGAAUUCCCGGUGUAGCGGUGGAAUGCGUAGAGAUCGGGAAGAACAUCAGUGGCGAAGGCGGUUCUCUGGGACGGUACUGACGCUGAGACGCGAAAGCGUGGGGAGCGAACAGG